GUGAAUCGUUGUGGUAUCUGACGACGCGAAAUGGGCCAAAAUGAUCUAGGUCUCUCAUCUCACUGUGCUCACUCUCAAAAAUUCCUGUGUCUCCGGUCUGACACGUCUUAUUGAUGGUUCGCUGCUGCCCGAUUCAGCCCUGGUGGAACAGGUAAAAUCCCUUCGGCAAGGUCAUGCAUUGUGGCUGAAUGGUUCGGUUGUUGCCAUCCGAACCAAUAUUGCCGAAAUGGAAAAAUGGAAGGAUGCGCCAGGACAUGAACUGGAGCAGACCGACCGCAUCUCCGCCCCCUGGGAUGUCUUCCGGAAAAAUGGUGAUCAGAUUCGCUCAGAUUUUAGCCUGAUUACUGCCGGACGUAAAUCCGAGGUACUGUCCGAUCCGCACACAAAAAUUUAUCAUCCGGAAAAUAUUUUUCUUGAACCCGGCGCACAGGUUCUCGCUUCGGUCAUCAAUGCCACGGAUGGUCCCGUAUACCUGGGACGAAACAGCAUCAUCAGGGAAGGUUCAUCAUCCGCGGUCCCUUCGCACUUGGUAAUGAUGCGCAGU
RNAcentral lists this ribosomal RNA (544 nucleotides) under uncultured archaeon. RNAcentral's name for it is "partial 16S ribosomal RNA". The record is from RNAcentral.